RNAcentral lists this ribosomal RNA (367 nucleotides) under uncultured bacterium. RNAcentral's name for it is "partial 16S ribosomal RNA". It matches the Rfam family "Bacterial small subunit ribosomal RNA", at positions 356 to 712 of the family's 1533-position model. The record is from RNAcentral.
GGGGAAUUUUGGACAAUGGGCGCAAGCCUGAUCCAGCCAUGCCGCGUGCGGGAAGAAGGCCUUCGGGUUGUAAACCGCUUUUGUCAGGGGAAGAAAUCUUCUGAGUUAAUACCUCGGGAGGAUGACGGUACCUGAAGAAUAAGCACCGGCUAACUACGUGCCAGCAGCCGCGGUAAUACGUAGGGUGCAAGCGUUAAUCGGAAUUACUGGGCGUAAAGCGUGCGCAAGGCGGUUUUGUAAGACAGAGGUGAAAUCCCGGGCUCAACCUGGGAACUGCCUUUGUGACUGCAAGGCUUGAGUGCGGCANAGGGGGGAUGGAAUUCCGCGUGUAGCAGUGGAAACGCGUAGAUAUGCGGAGGAACACCGA